GCCUGGGUGGCUCAGCGGGUUGGGUGUCCGACUUUGGCUCGGGUCAUGAUCUCACAGUUCGUGGGUUCGAGCCCCGCGUCGGGCU
Non-coding RNA from Felis catus (domestic cat), 85 nucleotides. Lineage: Eukaryota; Metazoa; Chordata; Mammalia; Carnivora; Felidae. The record is from Rfam.